AUCUGGCAAAGAGAUUUGCAGAGUGUCGGGUGACCGGCAAAGAGAUCUGCAAAGUGUCAGUUGAAGACGAUGGGAGGGGUCGCAGAGGUAGCAACGACUGGAGUAUAACAUGAAGGCGUGGGUGAUCCCCUGAACGGCUGACCUGGGAGGAGAGCUGCGGACACAUGCUUCAAAUGUUGGGACAUAUGCAUUACCUAUUA
Molecule: long non-coding RNA, 200 nt
Organism: Pseudophryne corroboree (corroboree frog)
Lineage: Eukaryota; Metazoa; Chordata; Amphibia; Anura; Myobatrachidae
Exons: 2
Source: RefSeq, a predicted model, not a curated record